Long non-coding RNA from Oryzias javanicus (javanese ricefish), 2443 nucleotides. Lineage: Eukaryota; Metazoa; Chordata; Actinopteri; Beloniformes; Adrianichthyidae. The record is from Ensembl.
AUGAUAAACAAACUUGUGGAUUUAGGAACUGCCCAUCUAUUCAUGCGGAUGCAGGAGAAAAACAGGGGAAAGUGCGGGAACCUUUUGAAAACAGCAACCAAGAGAAUUGUCCAUUUGCGGUUUAAGCUGCAACUUUUGUUCCAGCCACACAGAGACUACCACAGCUCUGGUGUCAGGAGUCAACAACAGGCGCAGUUAGACGAGGUCAUGCUGUCAGAACAUCUGGGGAACUUGAACAGCUUUGGAUCGGUUGCAGAGUCAGCAAGACAACAUUUGGUUGUGUCUGCCAAUCGUCUCCUGCGGUUUGAGGAUGAAACAGAAAAAGAGGUGGAGACUCGUUAUUUGGAACGUUGGAGCCAAAGGAGACAGGAAAUGCAGCGGAGAGCAGGAGUCCUGGUGUCCAAACCCGACUUAGAGAGUUUGAAAGCAGGACUGGAGCUCAGACAGGGGAAGUCUCCUGCUGUCGGGAGGCUGAGAGGACAAACAGUGAUGAGAGAAUUGGGUAAGAUUAACCCUGGUGUGAGAGUGUCAGGGGGAGGAGUCAUACUAGACCUGAGCCUUAAUGAAGACCCUCCUAUGAUUGAAGAGAGACAGAAGAGCCUAAACAGGAAGCAACUGAGGCUGCGGACAGAGCCGCUCAGAGAGACCUACAUCGGCUGUGUCACGCCUUCUGACACAGGGAGACAAGGAGAAAAGACUUGUCGGGAAUCGUGUGCCCAAGUGAGACAAAGGACCACUCACAGUGAAAUGUUUGGAUCUCCGCAGACCGCCUCACAACCUCUUCUACUCAUAGAUCCACCAACAGGUUCUGAAUCCUCCUGCAGUGAUGCUCCACACGUUCAUGUUUCAUGCUCUCCCUCAUUCAGACGACCUUUGUCUUUAUCCAGUCCUUCUAAAACAUCAGUGAUGCCACAGAGGAACGCGUCCAAUUCAAGGAAGCAGGGAAAGGACUUGAACCAGAAUCAAGACAGACAAAGGACACCUUCCUGUCAAAGGGUCCACAGACAUCUUGGAACCGGGCCAGAGCUCAUGGAGAAGGUCCCUUUUCUGGAGAAGAAAAGCCGUGAACCGAACCCUGCUGCCAGACCCUCCUCAUCAGGAACGAGUUUGGAGAUGAAAGCAGGUAAUCAAACUCCUCCUGCUCUGGCCAUCAGGGACGGAUCCUCCACGAAAUCACUGAGAUCCGAGUUUCCCACAGAGGAGGACUCACAUUCUGAGCGCAGACAGAGCAGGAGUCGAACCCGCAGUCUGGAUCGGCUUCCUUCAAAGACCCAACCUCCCGUCAGCGGUCCAACCCAUUUAGGAGACCUGAGGUCCUGCGGCUUUCUGAAGACCCCCCCCUCUGUUCGGUGGUUCUGUGAGGGCUCAAACAUCUUCCCAAUGACCAAGUUCUCCUCUGUUUUCAAUGUUUGGUCAGAACAGAACUGCUCCACUGACGGCAGAUCAGCUGAUGACCACUGAGCACUUCCUGUUAACCCUUUAACAGAGCAGUUCCGGUCUUUAUGUUCUUUGAUAUACUGUAGAUUGUGAAUGAGAAAAGCGGCUAAUGCCGGAGUCAUAAAUAAACGUUGUGAAAUGUUCGUAUUAAUUCGAUUUUGACUUUGUGAAAUCUGAGACGUCAUAUCCGGCGUUUAAAAUCCAGGGCACUAGAUAGUUCUGCACUAUAUAGUUUUUUAGUAGUUAGAGGGGAAUUCAGACACAACCAUAGAGAUUGAAGUUGUUUCUUACUCUGUUUACAUUCCCAUAAUGCUGCUUUGAUCCAGUUGUUCUGAUCCGAGCAUGGAGUCUAUUCAGACUGAGGAAACUCGGAGUGAACCUGAGCUCAGUCCGAUUGGAAACGAAUCGAAACUACCUCAAACGAUGGGUCCGAGAGCGGCUCCUGGUCCCGCAUCAGGGUCCGCUUGGGUGUAAUCAUGCUGAAAACAAACUGAUUCACUUUAAGCAAACCAAAUGUGACAUCCUAAAUGUUGAUAAAAUACAUAAAAAACCUUUAAAAUAUUGAAAUCGUGUAACACAAGAUAGAUAGAGGAUUUUGUCUGCAGAACAAAGCCAGAGAAGUGAAGAACGCCACCGUGAGUCUAGAACAGAACAUAAACAUUCUGAAAUUGUAUUUCUAUACCGGGCAAUCCUCUGCCGAGGUUUGGGUUUGACGGUGGCAUAAAGGAUUGAUGCUUGUCAGAUUGCAAGUGUGAAGUUCAGUGAUGGGAAAACUGACUGACUGGAAGAAGAAUCCUGUCAGUCAUCUACUGACCCAGAAGCUGCAGGAUGAGCACACCAAAACUCUUCAAAACAUGAGAUCUUGCAAGUCUGUUCCAGAACUGAACGAGCAGCACAUUUAUCUGUAUCUCAUUAGUGUUUGUUUUUAAUCUGUACAUAUUCAUAAAUGGGUUUAUUUUUGUGUUUUUGGGGAUUUUAUGCUCACAGAAACACCUAACAGUCCCAC